GCCCCUGCAUAUUUAAAUAGUGAUAACCUUUCUUAAAUUUAUUCACGUCUUGUCUUUUCCCUCUUCCCUAGUGACUGAUUUCCCGCUUACCUCCCUGUAACCACCACCACCUAUCUUGUCUAGUAUUUGGUUGCCGCAGGUAGGAUUAAGAUUAUUCUAAUGGGACUGCAAAAAGAAAGAGGAAUAUGACACUCAGUUUUUAACAUUAUGCAUAGGAUUUUGUUGCGUCUACAGCAAGUUAGUCUUUGUUGAAAAAAAUUCUUUUAAUUCCUUUGAAUUCUUGUUAACCUAUUCAGAAUCAAGCUUAGAAGGUAUUUAUUUCUUCCAGAGGCAGACCCCCAAUUCUGUCAAAAAGGCUGAGCCAUGAGGCUUAGCAUUCCUCAAGAAGAGAUGUCUUUGCAAGUCAGAAAGAGGAAGAGGACAUUUCCCCUUUAACUCAGGAGAAGCAUCAUGGAAAGGGAAGGACUUUUGGGGUCAGAAUUUCAACACUUACGAAGACUACAACUUGCUUUUGUUGCCUUCUUUACCUUCUCUGAGAAUAACUACACCUGAACUAUAGAAGAUUAGCCCUGAGCUAACACCUGCCACCAAUCCUCCUC
This is a non-coding RNA of Equus caballus (horse), 599 nucleotides long. The record is from RefSeq and is a predicted model, not a curated record. Lineage: Eukaryota; Metazoa; Chordata; Mammalia; Perissodactyla; Equidae.